This 820-nucleotide long non-coding RNA is filed under the name Monodelphis domestica (gray short-tailed opossum). RNAcentral's name for it is "lncRNA (ENSMODG00000035179.2)". The record is from RNAcentral. Lineage: Eukaryota; Metazoa; Chordata; Mammalia; Didelphimorphia; Didelphidae.
UGGCUCUUUCUGAAGAAGGAGACUUUGAAGCUGCCAGGAGACUGGGACCUGACUUCCAUCAAAAUCGUCUUAAGGAAGUGGUAGAGGCAGUGAAUAACAUUGCCCUGGUGGACAGUGUGUUUAUCCAUCACUCCCCUUCUGAACCUGAUUCCUGCAGUGCUACACUUCCUACUGGGACUUCUGCUAGACCCAAAGAGGACUCCAGUUUUAACCUCCCAAACACCAAGCUAACUCUGCCAAUGUGUGAAUUGGCCCUAUCGUCUAUAUGGACAUCCCUGGAAAGUAUUUUGCCAAGCUUCUAGGUUUUGUCUAUCACUUGGCUACAGCAGCAUCACCAACUUUGAGGCUUCCAUGAUUCCUGAGCCUUCUCAGGAUGCUACCUUGAGACAAGAUUCCUUCUACCUCCUGUACUCCAGAGCCUUCUGUAGGAAAGGAGAGAACUCAGAGGUGUUUUCAUUCUGGUUAUCCUGGGGUGGACCCAGAAAGCCAGUGAUUCCCUCUCCUGUGGGUUUGCUGGUGACUCUGCCUAUCCCAGCUGCUGCUGCUGCUAAGGAGUGGAUGUUCAACAGAGUUGCUGGUGACUUCUUACUGAGACUCCUGCUUGACCCAUAGAAGGACUCCAGUUGUGUGAGAUCUACUUUGGCCUUGUUCUUGCCCCUUUCAAACCCUCCCUACUCUCAACUAAUAAUUUAAGGAGUUAGUUUAGACUAGUUAUACAAAGUUAUAAGGGUUUUAAUCUUUGUUUUGGGGUAAAGGUUAGUUAUUCCCUGAUUCCCUUUCCUUUCUUCCUUUAGUUUAAUAAACCUGUUAUUUUGUUACA